This 483-nucleotide ribosomal RNA is filed under the name Acanthamoeba sp. NA-2015. RNAcentral describes it as "SSU rRNA". It matches the Rfam family "Eukaryotic small subunit ribosomal RNA", at positions 774 to 1097 of the family's 1831-position model. Lineage: Eukaryota; Discosea; Longamoebia; Acanthamoebidae. The record is from RNAcentral.
AUUUAAGCAGGCAGAUAUUUCAUACUGCCACCGAAUACAUUAGCAUGGGAUAAUGGAAUAGGACCCUGUCCUUCAUGUUUCGCGUUGGUUGUGCCACGUGCGUGUGCUUCGCGGUGUGCGCGCGUGGCAUGGUUUCGUCUAAAGGAGGACCAGGGUAAUGAUUAAUAGGGAUAGUUGGGGGCAUUAAUAUUUAAUUGUCAGAGGUGAAAUUCUUGGAUUUAUGAAAGAUUAACUUCUGCGAAAGCAUCUGCCAAGGAUGUUUUCAUUAAUCAAGAACGAAAGUUAGGGGAUCGAAGACAAUUAGAUACCGUCGUAGUCUUAACCAUAAACCAUGCCGACCAGCGAUUGGGAGACGUUUCACACGGGGGUGGUCCCCAUGGGGAGAGUGCGUGGGGGUGGCCGCUUCUUGCGGUGGCCUCCUCGCCUUUCCCUUUGGGGGGCUGCUCCCACUAAAGGAUGACUCCCCUAGCAGCUUGUGAAAAA